UAUUUCAGACGUACAAAUGAACUCUCAUCGUAGAUAUCAGCAAAGUGAUUAUUUGAAAAAAUCUUACGGGCACGCACCGUUGCUUAAAGCGGGGUUUAAAAUAGUUCACCUCGUGCGUAGUUGGCUAUGAUAUUACAUACCUCAAAUCCUACAAACUAUGCUUAUAAAUAGGAAGUAGAUCGGUUAAAAAAAGUGCAUACUGCCAAUACAAGUUAUUCUAAGCUCCUGUGGUUAGCAAAGCUCGCAAGGAAAUUUCUUCACUCUAUCAACUUAGUGACCAGAGAAACCACAAAGACCGAAGCAUCCCAUUCUAGCUUAACAACCCGAUCAAGCGAAGGUAGAAAACUGAGGAGGAAGCCCUCUGCUAAAGCACCGUCGGAAUGUCGAUCGGCCAAAGAGUCAGUUCAUGUCUACUGAGCCUUAAAGAAUGAGGAAUGUAUUUGCCAUCAACGGUUGAAGAAGAGUAUGAAGGACAUUCAAACUUGAGCUCUAAAUUUUGCAGUCCUCAAGAAGCUGCUCUGGGGACAAUUUCAGAAGCGCAUGGUUAGCUUAGAUAUUUAUUUGAAAAAGAGUACACUAUGCAGAUGGAAAGAUAAUUAAAAUGUCUCGAAUGCUUCUCUGCCCUUAAUGUAAAAUUGAAAAAAGAAUGUAUUACACUCUUAUUGUUAAGAUAUAAUUGAAUUAGGACGGGUUUUCACAAUUCAAUAAGUGAAUUGUUCACGGCUUUACACAUAGGCCUGUAUUUAAAACUAAUCAUAACAAUUCCGAGAAAAUGGGAUUUAUCUGUUUCACGCGGAACUGCUCUCUUGCGGGAGUAGGUUGCUUAAGUAAGACGGCCGCAGAAUUCUUUAUGAGUUUCUGUGUUCAGCGCUGUUUUUGUUUUCAAAGUUGGCACCCAUAUUGUAGAACAAUCUAGCAACGAAUAUUUCCGCAAUUCAGUUUUGGUACAUUAGGCGAAAAGCUUACCACGGGGUAAUUUUAGUCAAGCGUACGGGAAAAGGUUGUCAUCAACUAGAAAUCAGUAGAAUUAUCUGUUAUCUUUGUAGCACGUCAUGCAAAUCGUUUCGUUUUUAUUGUUGAUUACGCCAUGGUACUUUGAAGAUACAAAUGAAGAUGUCCUAUCAGAAAACAAAAUUCUUGUCGUUACCAGUCAAAUUCCGUCAACAGAUCAACACAUGUUCAUAACACUUAAACAGCUAAAAUAACAGAAAUCAUGCUGCCAAGUACAGAUCACCUUAUAGUG
Long non-coding RNA from Stylophora pistillata, 1243 nucleotides. The record is from RefSeq and is a predicted model, not a curated record. NCBI's taxonomy places the organism in Eukaryota, Metazoa, Cnidaria, Anthozoa, Scleractinia, Pocilloporidae.